GAUGAACGCUAGCGGCAGGCCUAACACAUGCAAGUCGAGGGAGAGGUUAUCUUCGGGUAACCAAAACCGGCGCACGGGUGCGUAACGCGUAUACAAUCUGCCUUUCACAUAGGGAUAGCCCGAAGAAAUUUGGAUUAAUACCUAAUGGUAUAUAAGAGCGGCAUCGUUUUUAUAUUAAAGCUACGGUGGUGAAAGAUGAGUAUGCGUUCUAUUAGCUAGUUGGAGAGGUAACGGCUCCCCAAGGCGACGAUAGAUAGGGGUUCUGAGAGGGAUGUCCCCCACACUGGUACUGAGAUACGGACCAGACUCCUACGGGAGGCAGCAGUGAGGAAUAUUGGACAAUGGUCGGAAGACUGAUCCAGCCAUGCCGCGUGCAGGAUGAAGGUCCUAUGGAUUGUAAACUGCUUUUGCAAGGGAAGAAUAAGGAGUACGUGUACUUUGAUGACGGUACCUUACGAAUAAGCAUCGGCUAACUCCGUGCCAGCAGCCGCGGUAACACGGAGGAUGCGAGCGUUAUCCGGAAUCAUUGGGUUUAAAGGGUCCGUAGGCGGGCUGAUAAGUCAGAGGUGAAAGCGCUUAGCUCAACUAAGCAACUGCCUUUGAAACUGUCAGUCUUGAAUGAUUGUGAAGUAGUUGGAAUGUGUAGUGUAGCGGUGAAAUGCUUAGAUAUUACACAGAACACCGAUAGCGAAGGCAUAUUACUAACAAUUUAUUGACGCUGAUGGACGAAAGCGUGGGGAGCGAACAGG
RNAcentral lists this ribosomal RNA (749 nucleotides) under uncultured Capnocytophaga sp. RNAcentral describes it as "bacterial SSU rRNA". It matches the Rfam family "Bacterial small subunit ribosomal RNA", at positions 28 to 776 of the family's 1533-position model. Lineage: Bacteria; Pseudomonadati; Bacteroidota; Flavobacteriia; Flavobacteriales; Flavobacteriaceae. The record is from RNAcentral.